Molecule: long non-coding RNA, 3451 nt
Filed under: Homo sapiens (human)
Lineage: Eukaryota; Metazoa; Chordata; Mammalia; Primates; Hominidae
Description: HSALNT0394754
Source: RNAcentral
AGACAGGAAAUAGGAUCUUAGUGGGUGGCCGCCAAGAGCGCACAGACUUUGAAGCAGGAAAAGACAGUCUCUAGAGCAACAUGGAAAGGAUCCAGGUAAGGGAGCUUCUGUCGUCAGGGCCACAUUGGCACCAAGGGGGUGCAGCAGAGGGGCUGACUUAGAAGAAGGCUAGUUUCUUCCCAAUGCCACCCUAUUCCACCACCCCACCACCCACGUUCUAAAUGGUUUUGCGGAAGUGAAUUGCUUAAUUUCCCAUCUUUUAGCCUUUAAAACAUAUUUUUCUCCCUCAAGUAUUUGUUUUCAGGCAAAAGCAAGCCUCCAAAAGCCCCUUGGUUCUUCUCUGUGUGUCUCGCCCCUUCUGCCUUGUACACCAGACUGCCGGCAAGCAAGCGGGGAGGUGGCGAACAGCUGGGAUCCUCCAGUGAAAAGUUUGCUCAGCGCGAGAGAUGUCAAGAGGCUGGGAUUGUCGCCUAUCGGGAGAAGAAUUCCACAGAUGAAUUGGUUCUGCCCUGUAUCUUUGAAUGGUUUUUAUUUUCUGAUGUCCAGUGUGGCAGCCUGGCAGAGACAUUUAGUUGAAAGAACACGGGGCUCUGGAAACAACCAGUCCUCCUUGGUUCAUAUUCUCGUGUUGUCACUUAUUAACCGAGUGACAUUGGGUAAGUUCUUUUGUCCCUUUGAGCUAGUGUCUUCAUUCCAAUAACUAUUCCUACCAUCUGAGUUUGCUAAUGGGUCUCAGGGAGAGGUAAGACAUAUAUCACUUGGUACCUCAUUUCAUUUCUCUGAUAGCAGAAAGUGGGAAGGUCAUGACCAGUCAAGGGGCCUCUGAGUCAAUCACGAUUUUUCCUUCUGCAGAGUGUAAUACCUUCUUUUCUUCCUGCCACAGAAAAAAACCACACUUGCUGAGCCAAAGAAGACCUUUCUGUUUUUUGAAUAGCUUUGACUAGGUACAUUUCUUGAAAAGGAUUCUUCUUUGGCAGGAGAAGCCCAGAUUUGAGGUCCCAUGGUCCAGGAGGCAUCUCAUAUACCUCUCUUGGUAUGCCUACUGUCCCAUUUUAUUGACAUCUCUCAGCAGAGUGGGAGAUAAGAGGAGAUGAUGCUGGAAUUCUUUCUGAGUAUCAGUCUAGCAUUGGCGGAGGGUCGAAAAACUGUAAUAAAACUCUCUAAGGAUUUGUCUAAUUCAAUAACUUAGAUCUGAGCCAACUAUCAUCUCCUUGGAGAAGACUUCCCUGACCGUAUGAUCAAAAUUACUUCCCCCAGUCACCCUCUAGUCAUCAGUGUUCUUUUAUCCUCAUCCCAGCACUCACCACUCUCUGAAAUUACUUGCUUAUUUAUAUGUGUACUUGUUUAUGUUUCUUGUUUGUUCCCUCCACUGAAACAAACUCUAUGACAGCUCUUAUUUUCUUUUCUAAGCCUCAUUGCUUAGAACAGUGUAUGACAAAAGUAGGCCCCCAAUAAAUAUUGUUACAUAAAUAAUUAGACUAUAGAUCUCACUAAUGUUGGAAAUGACCCCAGCAUCUAUAAAGGAAUAAAUAUAGCAAAAGAUAUAGUUCUGGCUGGGCUCAGCUAAUCUCACCUGGUUCAUCUACCUGGCUGGGCAUGUAUGGCAGGGCAGAGUUUCUUUUUUAGAUUCGAACUGCAUCCUAGUUGAACACACUGAUAUAUCCAUAAUGAAGUGACUACUCAAGAAGAAUCAGGCAGCGAUUGCAGUUUUAUUUAUUUCAUGGAGUAAUAAUCACCACAGUUGAUCAUGCCUCCUCCUUUUUGAAAACAGUUUCUUACCUGUGUUCUCUCUUGAGUUUAUCAGCAGUUGCACCCCACUUCAGUGUCCACCAUUGGCUCCUGUCAUCUCCCCAACCUUGACUCUCUUCUCAUCUCUGUCAUCGUUCAUUCUCUAGGUGACUGUUUUAGUCACAUGGCCUUGUUAGGAGUCAGAAGCAGAUACCCCCAAAUGUGGUGCUUUUAAACGCUGAACUGAAGAAGCCUCGAGGUCUCUCUGGCAUCUCCCUACUCCUGACAUCUCUCCUCAAACCUUUAUCUGCCUAAGAUCUAGACAUGCCAAAAGGAACAAUUGUUUCUUCUUCCCCUCUCUGUAAGUCCAAGAGUGUAAUCACACCUGAACAGAACCUUUUCCAAGGAAAUGUACAAGUUCAUCUCUGUUCCCUGAGCCACUCAUUCUCCCUAGUAAUCCCCUCAACAGAAUCGCUCUUCCCUCCCCUCCCAUAACCUGCUCCACCAGGAAGGUGUGUAAGCUUCUGAAUGCUCUUGAGGGGUGGGCAGUCUCUCGGUGGUUCUCCCCAUGUAUAUACAUUAAAUAAAUUUGUUUGCCUUUUCUCCAAUUAACCAGUCUUUUGUGAGUUGAUUUUUCAGUGAACCUUCAGAGCGUGAAGGAGAGGUUUCCCUUUGGUCCCUAUAGCCUCAGAUACCUUCCCAUUCUGACAACCAUGACAUUAUAUUUUCAGCCUAGACACAUAUUUCCAGGAUGUGUGAUAUACCCAUUUGGAUGUUGAGGUUGAUUGUAUGAUGUCUACAGCCUUUGCUGUGUGACUCUGCAUUCCCUCUCACUGAGAGGCAGGAUCUACUCUUCCUGCCACCCCUGUGGAAUCUGGGCUUAGUCAUGUCACUUGCUUGACAGGAUGAGGCCAAAUUCAAUGUACUGUAGGGAAAGAAAUAUCUUUUCCUCACCUAUCACUAUAUUCAUGGGUGAGGCCCCUAUAACAAAAGACAGAUUAAAAAGACAAAAGCAAAAACACGUAUUUAAUAUAAGUUUUGUGUGGCAUGGGAGCCUCCUGAAGAAAUAGUUAAACGUGUGUAUUUUUAUGCUUAGGUGUAGGAAGAGUGGACAGUCAUGGAGAAAUAUGAUUGGAGGACAAAAAGCUGUGAUCUGCUGGUACUAAACUGGGAGGAACUUAGCGAGGCUUGUGUAUUCUGAUUUUUCUCUGUGUCCCUGUGUCUUCAGAGAUAAGGAUGUUUCCUUUUCUCUGGGUAUAUGAAGGGUACUUCUUGAAUGAGGGUCUUAUGAUCUGUUUCAGAAGAGAAGGGUAGGAGAAGGUCAGAGAGUGACCUUCCUAGGUUUUAUGACCUGCUUCAAGGGAGAAGGGUGAGGGAGGAAUGAUAGUGACCUUCCUGCUUCUGCUGUUUUCUCAAAUGCCAAUGUGCCAUAUUUUGGGGUAAGAUGUUCUGAACCCCAUCAGUGUGCACAUACUACGCCUAGUCCUCAAGAGUGCUUGUGUAUUUCCACUUAUUGUCUCUUGCGCUUCUGCUACUACCAUGAGAAGCACAAGGCUCAGCUAACCCUCUGGCCCUGAGAGGAGAAUGAGAAGGCGGGACGCAGUGGUGUAUGCCUGUAAUCUCAGCUACUCAGGAGGCUGAGACAGGAGAAUCACUUGAACCCGGGAGGCGGAGGUUGCAAUGAGCUGAGAUCACGCCAAUGGACUCCAGCCUGGGCAACAAG